Long non-coding RNA from Daucus carota subsp. sativus, 2016 nucleotides. RefSeq lists it as uncharacterized. The record is from RefSeq and is a predicted model, not a curated record. The transcript is spliced from 4 exons. Lineage: Eukaryota; Viridiplantae; Streptophyta; Magnoliopsida; Apiales; Apiaceae.
GCAAACAGAACUGGAGUCGAUUGGGUCGGGGAAAUUGGGUGUGGCGACUCCAAUUAGGGUUUCAAGCAGAGGUGAAAGAGGAUUGAACGAUCAGGUAAUCAAACCGAGUUCUUGCUUUCUUCCCUACUUGUUUAUGUUUGUAUCUUGGUCGGUUAUUGCUGUUGGUUGCGGCGAAUUGGGCGGCGAUGAAUUGUCAAUUGGCGGUGGGGAAGGAGAGAUGGAGAGUUGCCAGAGGUUAAUCUGGAUCAGAGCUAUGAACCUCUGAAAUGAACAAAAGAAAACUUCUGAUGUUGCAUUAACAGGUAUUACUCCCAGGCUGCUCUUUUUUUUAUUCACAUGCAUAUCUUGUUGGUUACAAGUUUCGGACCACUGGGUCAUCGGUCAUCUGCUGAUUUAUUAUACCCCAUAAUAGGUUUGGCAUGGCUAUCUUCCUCUAUUAUCUGAAUUUUCACAUGAAUAUGUAUCUAGUUGAAGUGAAUGAGGGCAAAAAGUAACUAUAUAUUUACUGAAACUUUGUUCUUUAAAUAAUAUCACUCUGAUUAGCAUCUCAAUAUGUUAAAACUAUAAAGAUUGCUUUUACUGAUAUUUGCCACACAAAAGAUUAUCUUAGCUUAUUAUUAGUAAUUAAUGAGUUUUAAAUUUGCUUCGUCAUCUUAGUGCUUGUAUGGGUUACAAUAACAAUGCGUUAAAUAAUAAAAAUAUUUCAUUAGCAAGACUUGAUUGAAAAUUUGACACUUAUCUUUUUCUCAUUGAAUAUCACACCUAAAAUUUUGUUUGUGGCACAAAAAUUAAUUUCAUUUGUGGUCUGCCAAUAUUGUAAAAAUAGUCAACUCUAUCUAGUUAGGUAAAUGUGUAAUCAUUAUUAGUUUCAUAUCUUGUGAGUGAUUAUUCAAUUUGGUAGUUUUUGUUUGAUCUUUGUUCAUUGUGGACUUGUGGUUCAUAAUAAGGCUGAUAGUUGAUAAAUAUUAUAUGAAAUAUGAUUUCUUGGGAUGUUAAUCGUACUCUAGUUCUUUCUGAAAUUAAAAGAUUAGUUUGUAUUUGUGUUUAUGUUAUUAUUCAGGAAUACUUAUAGGUUUCUAUAUCUGUACAAGGAGGUGUACUCUUAUAUUGUUGGAGACUUCGACUGAUCAUUGAAAUUAAGAUUCUUAUCUUGUUAUAGCUUGUUACAGGUUUUGAUCCAAACACACUUCUCUCUGUCAUCCUGUUAAGGAUAUACUUGGGCAGUGGUUCUGCAUUCACAUCACCCAAGCCUAUUUAUUACUGCUUUGUAAUGUAGAUCCUUCUUUUUAGUUGUUUUGCUGCAUUAACAAUUAUGUCCUUUUUAGAUGUUUAUAGUCAUGUAAUUGACCAGCUCUUUUGUUUCUAUUUCUAGACUUUCGGACCAUGUCCAGCAGCAUUGCGUGCAUUCAUAUGUUGUGCAUACAGAUUCAGUUUGGGCACUUUCUAGUACACCCACUUUCAGUCAUGUUUAUACUGGUGGCAGAGAUCUUUCUGUUGUGAAAAUAAAAUGUGAUGAAAGAGAAGAUCUGAAGGUGUAGGCUACAGGUCUUGCUGCAGCUUUGGUUGCAAGAAAGCUCCUCACACAAAUGAACCUUCUGGUGGAAGAAUAAAAUCUGCUGAUAGAAAAUUGGAAAGAACAUAAAGUUUAUCUGCCGCAGCUAAAUCAGUAGAGAACCAAAAGCAGGGAGAGAAAUAUGGAAAUAAAACACUGCACGAGGAUGCCUUGAGAGUUUUUGGGAAGGCAUCACUCAAAUCUGAGGGAAAAGCCACAUUGAAAAUAUCACUUGCUGCUGGAUCUCUUUCUAUUCCACUGGUGACAGCUGAGACCUUUUAACAUGAUCCAUACGAAGGGCGACAGACAGUAGCAAUCGCUUAGCUUCAGACAGAGUAUCCUAUGCAAGGAAAAUGUUAGAAGUUCAUACUUAUGUAUAUAGACACCUUGGAUUUAGAAGGAUAUUUAGCUUUAAUUAUGUAUGAAACAUUGGUCGAUACUUUUUUCUUUUAAAUCGAAUAUUG